RNAcentral lists this ribosomal RNA (402 nucleotides) under Vibrio parahaemolyticus. RNAcentral describes it as "bacterial SSU rRNA". It matches the Rfam family "Bacterial small subunit ribosomal RNA", at positions 870 to 1270 of the family's 1533-position model. The record is from RNAcentral. Lineage: Bacteria; Pseudomonadati; Pseudomonadota; Gammaproteobacteria; Vibrionales; Vibrionaceae.
CGCCUGGGGAGUACGGUCGCAAGAUUAAAAACUCAAAUGAAUUGACGGGGGCCCGCACAAGCGGUGGAGCAUGUGGUUUAAUUCGAUGCAACGCGAAGAACCUUACCUACUCUUGACAUCCAGAGAACUUUCCAGAGAUGGAUUGGUGCCUUCGGGAACUCUGAGACAGGUGCUGCAUGGCUGUCGUCAGCUCGUGUUGUGAAAUGUUGGGUUAAGUCCCGCAACGAGCGCAACCCUUAUCCUUGUUUGCCAGCGAGUAAUGUCGGGAACUCCAGGGAGACUGCCGGUGAUAAACCGGAGGAAGGUGGGGACGACGUCAAGUCAUCAUGGCCCUUACGAGUAGGGCUACACACGUGCUACAAUGGCGCAUACAGAGGGCAGCCAACUUGCGAAAGUGAGCGA